This 465-nucleotide ribosomal RNA is filed under the name uncultured bacterium. Its description in RNAcentral is "bacterial SSU rRNA". It matches the Rfam family "Bacterial small subunit ribosomal RNA", at positions 27 to 507 of the family's 1533-position model. The record is from RNAcentral.
GGACGAACGCUGGCGGCGUGCCUAACACAUGCAAGUCGAACGGAGAUAUGAUUUCGGUUGUAUCUUAGUGGCGAACGGGUGAGUAACGCGUGAACAACCUGACUCUAAGAGGGGGAUAACACUCGGAAACGGGUGCUAAUACCGCAUAAGACCACGACCUGGCAUCAGGAUGAGGUCAAAGGAGCAAUCCGCUGAGAGAGGGGUUCGCGUCCCAUUAGAUAGAUGGCGGGUAACGGCCCACCAUGUCAACGAUGGGUAGCCGAGCUGAGAGGCUGAUCGGCCACACUGGAACUGAGACACGGUCCAGACUCCUACGGGAGGCAGCAGUGGGGAAUAUUGGGCAAUGGGCGCAAGCCUGACCCAGCAACGCCGCGUGAGGGAAGAAGGCUUUCGGGUUGUAAACCUCUGUCCUUGGUGACGAAACAAAUGACGGUAGCCAAGGAGGAAGCCCCGGCUAACUACGUG